Molecule: ribosomal RNA, 440 nt
Filed under: uncultured bacterium
Lineage: Bacteria
Description: partial 16S ribosomal RNA
Rfam family: Bacterial small subunit ribosomal RNA
Source: RNAcentral
CCUACGGUGGGCAGCAGUGGGGAAUAUUGCACAAUGGGGGGAACCCUGAUGCAGCGACGCCGCGUGAAGGAAGAAGUAUUUCGGUAUGUAAACUUCUAUCAGCAGGGAAGAAAAUGACGGUACCUGACUAAGAAGCCCCGGCUAACUACGUGCCAGCAGCCGCGGUAAUACGUAGGGGGCAAGCGUGAUCCGGAUUUACUGGGUGUCAAGGGAGCGUAGGCGGCAGUGCAAGUCAGAAGGGAAAGCCCAAGGAUCAACCAUGGGACUGCUUUUGAACCUGUACAGCUAGAUUGAAGGAGAGGUAAGUGGAAUUCCUAGUGUAGCGGUGAAAUGCGUAGAGAUUAGGAGGAACACCAGUGGCGAAGGCGGCUUACUGGACUGUAAAUGACGCUGAGGCUCGAAAGCGUGGGGAGCAAACAGGAUUAGAUACCCUUGUAGUC